Molecule: ribosomal RNA, 785 nt
Filed under: uncultured bacterium
Lineage: Bacteria
Description: bacterial SSU rRNA
Rfam family: Bacterial small subunit ribosomal RNA
Source: RNAcentral
UACAUGCAGUCGAGCGAAUCGAUGGGAGCUUGCUCCCUGAGAUUAGCGGCGGACCGGUGAGUAACACGUGGGCAACCUGCCUAUAAGACUGGGAUCCUUCGGGAAACCGGAGCUAAUACCGGAUACGUUCUUCUCUCGCAUGAAAGAAGAUGGAAAGACGGUUUACGCUGUCACUUAUAGAUGGGCCCGCGGCGCAUUAGCUAGUUGGUGAGGUAAUGGCUCACCAAGGCGACGAUGCGUAGCCGACCUGAGAGGGUGAUCGGCCACACUGGGACUGAGACACGGCCCAGACUCCUACGGGAGGCAGCAGUAGGGAAUCUUCCGCAAUGGACGAAAGUCUGACGGAGCAACGCCGCGUGAACGAAGAAGGCCUUCGGGUCGUAAAGUUCUGUUGUUAGGGAAGAACAAGUACCAGAGUAACUGCUGGUACCUUGACGGUACCUAACCAGAAAGCCACGGCUAACUACGUGCCAGCAGCCGCGGUAAUACGUAGGUGGCAAGCGUUGUCCGGAAUUAUUGGGCGUAAAGCGCGCGCAGGUGGUUCCUUAAGUCUGAUGUGAAAGCCCACGGCUCAACCGUGGAGGGUCAUUGGAAACUGGGGAACUUGAGUGCAGAAGAGGAAAGUGGAAUUCCAAGUGUAGCGGUGAAAUGCGUAGAGAUUUGGAGGAACACCAGUGGCGAAGGCGACUUUCUGGUCUGUAACUGACACUGAGGCGCGAAAGCGUGGGGAGCAAACAGGAUUAGAUACCCUAGUAGUCCACGCCGUAAACGAUGAGUGCUAAGUG